CACGUGAGGCGCGGCGGACCAAUAGCGCGAGGGCUGCGCAGCGCGAGCCCAGGGGCCCCCCAAGAUGGCGACGCCAACGCAAGGAGCCGCGCAGCAGCCCGAGGUGGUGAAGGGUCAGGUCUUCGACGUGGGCCCCCGCUACACGAGCCUCAGUUACAUCGGCGAGGGCGCCUACGGCAUGGUCUGUGCUGCCUUCGACAAUGUAAAGCUGGUUCGAGUGGCCAUCAAGAAGAUCAGCCCUUUUGAGCACCAGACAUAUUGCCAACGUACCUUGCGCGAGAUAAAAAUUCUGCUGAGAUUUAAGCACGAAAAUAUCAUCGGCAUCAACGACAUCCUUCGGGCAUCGACUAUUGAUCAAAUGAAAGAUGUCUACAUAGUUCAAGAUCUGAUGGAAACGGACCUCUACAAACUUUUAAAGGGGCAGCAGCUUAGCAAUGACCACAUCUGUUACUUCCUCUACCAGAUCCUGCGUGGACUCAAAUACAUCCAUUCAGCUAAUGUUUUGCACCGUGACCUGAAGCCAUCCAACCUUCUCCUCAACACCACCUGUGACCUCAAAAUCUGUGAUUUUGGCUUGGCUCGAGUAGCAGACCCAGACCAUGACCAUACAGGUUUUUUGACCGAGUAUGUGGCCACACGUUGGUACCGUGCUCCUGAAAUAAUGCUGAACUCCAAAGGAUAUACAAAAUCCAUCGACAUCUGGUCCGUGGGCUGCAUCUUGGCAGAAAUGUUGUCCAACAGACCUUUGUUCCCUGGGAAGCAUUAUCUCGACCAGCUCAACCACAUCCUAGGAAUCCUCGGUUCACCUUCUCAAGAGGACCUGGACUGCAUCAUCAAUAUGAAGGCCAGGAAUUACCUGCAGUCUCUUCCUCCGAAAGCCAAAGUGCCUUGGAACAGGCUCUUUCCGAAAGCGGAUUCCAAGGCUUUGGAUCUGCUGGACAAGAUGCUCACCUUUAACCCCCAUAGGCGCAUCACCGUGGAAGAGGCCUUGGCUCAUCCGUAUCUGGAGCAGUACUAUGACCCUUCUGAUGAGCCUGUAGCAGAGGAGCCGUUCAGAUUUGACAUGGAACUGGAUGAUCUCCCCAAGGAGCGGCUCAAAGAGAUGAUCUUUGAGGAGACUGCACGCUUCCAGCCAGGAUUUCAGCAGGCGUGAUCCUCUCUGCUACCCCUGCCUGCUUUGCUCUUGUGGGUGCUACAGAUUUAUUUUUCUUAUAUAUAAUGCGUCUGGUGCCUGACGACUCCAGAUAUAGCUGAAAAAACAUGUACACCGCCUAACAAAGAUAUUUAAUGUCCUGCCUGGUGUCUGCAAUUUGUGAGGCCAUCCCACAGUUUCUCACAAGAGACCAGAUUCAUCCUACUCCCACAAAAGGGAUUCAGCAGCAAAAAAAAAAUCUCUUUUAACCUGUAAACUUUGGGUUGGGCUGUUUGUGCUGGGUUUUUGUGAGCAAGACACAAUUUCCUCUCCCCCAUGUUAACUUGCCCUUUUAUUUUUUGUGAGCUUGUUUUUUUGUAUAAAGUGGCUUUUGUAUUUGCUUGGUGCAGACUUGUUACAUUUGGUAUUUCGUGUGAAAAAAAAUAUAUGGAUGAAUUUGUUUCCUACAAGUGCGGACGUUCACAUUUUGUGCAAGACUUGAGUCUUGGCAUAUAAUGGCUUUUGUUUGCCAAUACAUUUUAGGACUGGUUCAGACUGUCAUUUUCGUAGUGUUUGCAAAGCCAUUUGAAUUCCUGUAAUGUAGGAUGGCCUUCAUUAUUACAAUUGAUUGUUGUGAUUUUAGCAGACAAGCUUGUCAAAAAUGUUAUUUAGGGAGCUUUGCUUUAGAUGCAGGUUAAAUCUGGUUAAUAGGCCUGUAUGAAAUAUUGUGUUUAAAUGUACAUUAACUGAUUUGGGUAAGCCUUGGAUGAACUUUUAUUAUUAUUGAUGUUAUAUUAUUUUAUUGUUAACGUUGUUGCAAUGAAAACCCACUGUUAAAACUAAAAAAACCUGUAAAAUUUGGUAAAUAUUAGGUUAACCAAAAUGUUUAAACCAACUAUAGUAUUCCCUUUUAAUACUGCUAAAUAAAGUAAUUGAUUUGGGAAGAUGCUGUUGGAAGAAAUUAAGCACUUGUACUUUUGAACAUUGAAAGUUAUCUUUUCUAUAAUUAUUUAAAAAGUUAACAGUUGUCCAUUGUUUUCAAGAAUGAAUACUUAACUUCACUCAGUGUUCUUUAUGCAGGUGUACCCCUUAACCCAUACACAAAUUAAAAUACUAUGCCAAUGCAUAUGCGCCAUUCACAUGGUAUGUAUGCGACACCAUUUACCAAGUGUUUCAGUUAGGUACUGCACAAUUUGAAGAACUGUCACAAUAUGGUGUAAUGAAGUGGGUCAAAUGUGUUUAAUUUGUCUAUGCUUUUUUGUUUUUUGAAACUAUAAUAUAGUGGCCAUUCACUUUUAAAUUUGUAUUCUAUUGCUGGUGUGUUAAUCAAGUACAUAAUCUUGAUCCGUUGUGUUGUGUAAAACAUAUUCAAGACAUGAUUCUUAAACAGGCAUACAUUGGUUUCACAUUGAAUAUGUACCUAAAGCAACCGAGGUUAUUCUAAAUUAUAAUUGGUGUAUAGUGCAGGCUGCUAACAUUGGAACAAACGGUUUUUCAUUACUUAUGAGAACAUAACAUUUUAAUUAACACAACAUUACAUUUGGUGUUUGCCUUAUUCAUUGUGCUUGUGUUUUUGUAUUGUCACAGCUGGCACCAUUACAGUGAAGUAUCGUACGCUUUUUCGAUUAAACAUUUGAAUUGAUAAAGAGAUUACUUUUAUGGAUCAUGAAUAAGCUUUGCCUAGGCUAGGUACAAGAUAUAAUGUGAUAACUAUCAACUUCAGCAAAAAAAGGGAAAAGAUUAAUCCAGGACAAUAGUGUGCUUUACAUUGUACUUUUUGAUGAAUUCUGUCUGUGUAUAAAGUAAGCAUUAAACCACAAGAUAACGUAUCGCUUUUGUUUUUGAGUUUCAAUUUUUAAGUGUCCCUAUUCAGCACUGUUGCAGCUGGGUUAUUUGGAGAACUUACUAUACAUUAAAGUUGAAAUAACAUGAUUUUACAUUGUUCAUGGCUGUUUUCCCCCCAGGGUCCUUAUUUAAACAAAUAAAAAAACAUUUUAGAUGAAUUUAUUGUGUCCAGCAUGGUAAAAAUGUUACAGCAUAAUAGUUUAACAUUUUUUUUAUGACGCAACGUUUUUGAGCUUUUAGGCAUUGGACUGUGAGCAUGCACCCAUGUCUACUGCGACUGCCAUUUGAAGUUUUUGUGUUUUUAUUGUCCUGACGGCCACGUGGAAUGGCCUUGAAAAGUGGUUGAAGAUUCGAUAUCAUUUGUAAAAGCCUAAUGUGCAUCUAAAUCUUGUUUACAUAACCGUUCUAACCUUGUAUGUCAGACUGUUAACCACAACUUCAGUAUUGAAAACCAAGGUAACUGUUUAGCGAUUUUAAUGGUGAUGCAGAAAUAAAAACGUUUGCUGUUGUCUUGCUAAUAUAGGAUAUUGGGCAUUACAACAGUAGAUGUGAGCAGGUGAUAUAUGGACAGGCCUGGGUUAUUUAAGAAUGUAAAACAGUUGUGGGAAGACGAUCAGGAUAUUUUUCUCACUGCAGUGUGUAUAAACUAAAUCCAUGUUUAAACCUUAAGGACCAUGUCAACGUAUGAAUGUAGUACAGCGUACUCUGCCUUAACCUAGAAAGUUGAUGUCUGUGGUGACGCAAAGUCUUUGACUUGUGUAUAUGGCAAUGCUUUUGCUCUAACUGUAUAUGUCCAGCCCAUUGAAGCUGGCUUGGAUAUAAGUCUGUGAUUUGCAUGCAGUAUAAAUAAACUGUUAAAAGCCA
RNA transcript from Petromyzon marinus (sea lamprey), 3841 nucleotides. It is a transcript of the gene named mitogen-activated protein kinase 1, with no coding region annotated. Lineage: Eukaryota; Metazoa; Chordata; Hyperoartia; Petromyzontiformes; Petromyzontidae. The record is from RefSeq and is a predicted model, not a curated record.